Molecule: long non-coding RNA, 294 nt
Filed under: Ananas comosus (pineapple)
Lineage: Eukaryota; Viridiplantae; Streptophyta; Magnoliopsida; Poales; Bromeliaceae
Description: long non-coding RNA (ACOM_LNC018046)
Source: RNAcentral
UGCAAAUUGCGAGGUUCGAGUGUUCGAUUUGUAUUCCGAACUUUUCCACACUUGGUGGAGGGCCGUCGAUGGUAUACCGGCCUAAAAGUUCGAUCUCGAGAGUUUUGGCUGAGUCCUGAGAGUUUUACUCUCGGGGACCGGUCCCUGAUAGGAGAGACCGGUCCCCCAGUGAACAGUGCUGCGUAGCCGGCGAGGCAACCGGUCCCUGGCAGUCGAGACCGGUCCUCGAGCGCGUCUGCGCGGGGAGAGACCGGUCCCGCGCAGGGAGAGACCGGUUCCCGAACGUUGGAUUUU